This 2912-nucleotide ribosomal RNA is filed under the name Klebsiella variicola. Its description in RNAcentral is "bacterial LSU rRNA". It matches the Rfam family "Bacterial large subunit ribosomal RNA". Lineage: Bacteria; Pseudomonadati; Pseudomonadota; Gammaproteobacteria; Enterobacterales; Enterobacteriaceae. The record is from RNAcentral.
GGGUUGUGAGGUUAAGCGACUAAGCGUACACGGUGGAUGCCCUGGCAGUCAGAGGCGAUGAAGGACGUGCUAAUCUGCGAAAAGCGUCGGUAAGGUGAUAUGAACCGUUAUAACCGGCGAUGUCCGAAUGGGAAACCCAGUGCAAUUCGUUGCACUAUCGUUAACUGAAUACAUAGGUUAACGAGGCGAACCGGGGGAACUGAAACAUCUAAGUACCCCGAGGAAAAGAAAUCAACCGAGAUUCCCCCAGUAGCGGCGAGCGAACGGGGAGCAGCCCAGAGUCUGAAUCAGCUUGUGUGUUAGUGGAACGGUCUGGAAAGUCCGACGGUACAGGGUGAUAGUCCCGUACACCAAAAUGCACAGGCUGUGAACUCGAAGAGUAGGGCGGGACACGUGGUAUCCUGUCUGAAUAUGGGGGGACCAUCCUCCAAGGCUAAAUACUCCUGACUGACCGAUAGUGAACCAGUACCGUGAGGAAAGGCGAAAAGAACCCCGGCGAGGGAGUGAAAAGAACCUGAAACCGUGUACGUACAAGCAGUGGGAGCACCUUCGGGUGUGACUGCGUACCUUUGUAUAAUGGGUCAGCGACUUAUAUUCUGUAGCAAGGUUAACCGUAUAGGGAGCCGCAGGAAACCGAGUCUUAACUGGGCGUUAAGUUGCAGGGUAUAGACCCGAAACCCGGUGAUCUAGCCAUGGGCAGGUUGAAGGUUGGGUAACACUAACUGGAGGACCGAACCGACUAAUGUUGAAAAAUUAGCGGAUGACUUGUGGCUGGGGUGAAAGGCCAAUCAAACCGGGAGAUAGCUGGUUCUCCCGAAAGCUAUUUAGGUAGCGCCUCGUGAAUUCAUCUUCGGGGUAGAGCACUGUUUCGGCUAGGGGUCAUCCCGACUUACCAACCCGAUGCAAACUACGAAUACCGAAGAAUGUUAUCACGGGAGACACACGGCGGGUGCUAACGUCCGUCGUGAAGAGGAAACAACCCAGACCGCCAGCUAAGGUCCCAAAGUCAUGGUUAAGUGGGAAACGAUGUGGGAAGGCACAGACAGCCGGAUGUUGGCUUAGAAGCAGCCAUCAUUUAAAGAAAGCGUAAUAGCUCACUGGUCGAGUCGGCCUGCGCGGAAGAUGUAACGGGGCUAAACCAUGCACCGAAGCUGCGGCAGCGACGCUUAUGCGUUGUUGGGUAGGGGAGCGUUCUGUAAGCCUGCGAAGGUGGCCUGUGAGGGCUGCUGGAGGUAUCAGAAGUGCGAAUGCUGACAUAAGUAACGAUAAAGCGGGUGAAAAGCCCGCUCGCCGGAAGACCAAGGGUUCCUGUCCAACGUUAAUCGGGGCAGGGUGAGUCGACCCCUAAGGCGAGGCCGAAAGGCGUAGUCGAUGGGAAACAGGUUAAUAUUCCUGUACUUGGUGUUACUGCGAAGGGGGGACGGAGAAGGCUAUGUUAGCCGGGCGACGGUUGUCCCGGUUUAAGCAUGUAGGCGGAGGUUCCAGGUAAAUCCGGUACCUUUUAACGCUGAGGUGUGAUGACGAGGCACUACGGUGCUGAAGUAACAAAUGCCCUGCUUCCGGAAAAGCCUCUAAGCAUCAGGUAACAUUAAAUCGUACCCCAAACCGACACAGGUGGUCAGGUAGAGAAUACCAAGGCGCUUGAGAGAACUCGGGUGAAGGAACUAGGCAAAAUGGUGCCGUAACUUCGGGAGAAGGCACGCUGGUGUGUAGGUGAAGUCCCUGCGGAUGGAGCUGAGACCAGUCGAAGAUACCAGCUGGCUGCAACUGUUUAUUAAAAACACAGCACUGUGCAAACACGAAAGUGGACGUAUACGGUGUGACGCCUGCCCGGUGCCGGAAGGUUAAUUGAUGGGGUUAUCCGUAAGGAGAAGCUCUUGAUCGAAGCCCCGGUAAACGGCGGCCGUAACUAUAACGGUCCUAAGGUAGCGAAAUUCCUUGUCGGGUAAGUUCCGACCUGCACGAAUGGCGUAAUGAUGGCCAGGCUGUCUCCACCCGAGACUCAGUGAAAUUGAACUCGCUGUGAAGAUGCAGUGUACCCGCGGCAAGACGGAAAGACCCCGUGAACCUUUACUAUAGCUUGACACUGAACAUUGAGCCUUGAUGUGUAGGAUAGGUGGGAGGCUUUGAAGCGUGGACGCCAGUCUGCGUGGAGCCAACCUUGAAAUACCACCCUUUAAUGUUUGAUGUUCUAACGUUGGCCCCUUAUCGGGGUUGCGGACAGUGUCUGGUGGGUAGUUUGACUGGGGCGGUCUCCUCCCAAAGAGUAACGGAGGAGCACGAAGGUUAGCUAAUCCUGGUCGGACAUCAGGAGGUUAGUGCAAUGGCAUAAGCUAGCUUGACUGCGAGCGUGACGGCGCGAGCAGGUGCGAAAGCAGGUCAUAGUGAUCCGGUGGUUCUGAAUGGAAGGGCCAUCGCUCAACGGAUAAAAGGUACUCCGGGGAUAACAGGCUGAUACCGCCCAAGAGUUCAUAUCGACGGCGGUGUUUGGCACCUCGAUGUCGGCUCAUCACAUCCUGGGGCUGAAGUAGGUCCCAAGGGUAUGGCUGUUCGCCAUUUAAAGUGGUACGCGAGCUGGGUUUAGAACGUCGUGAGACAGUUCGGUCCCUAUCUGCCGUGGGCGCUGGAGAAUUGAGGGGGGCUGCUCCUAGUACGAGAGGACCGGAGUGGACGCAUCACUGGUGUUCGGGUUGUCAUGCCAAUGGCACUGCCCGGUAGCUAAAUGCGGAAGAGAUAAGUGCUGAAAGCAUCUAAGCACGAAACUUGCCCCGAGAUGAGUUCUCCCUGAGACUAUAAGUCUCCUGAAGGAACGUUGAAGACGACGACGUUGAUAGGCCGGGUGUGUAAGCGCAGCGAUGCGUUGAGCUAACCGGUACUAAUGAACCGUGAGGCUUAACCUUACAACGCCGAAG